GCUUGUCUCAAAGAUUAAGCCAUGCAUGUCUAAGUAUAAAUCUUUUACUUUGAAACUGCGAACGGCUCAUUAUAUCAGUUAUAGUUUAUUUGAUAGUCCCUUACUACUUGGAUAACCGUAGUAAUUCUAGAGCUAAUACAUGCGUCAAUACCCUUCUGGGGUAGUAUUUAUUAGAUCCAACCAGCCCGGUUCGCCGGAGUCCCUGGUGAGUCAUAAUAACUGAGCGAAUCGCAUGGCCUUGCGCCGGCGAUGGUUCAUUCAAGUUUCUGCCCUAUCAGCUUUCGAUGGUAGGGUAUUGGCCUACCAUGGCGUUAACGGGUAACGGAGAAUUAGGGUUCGAUUCCGGAGAGGGAGCCUGAGAAACGGCUACCACAUCCAAGGAAGGCAGCAGG
This 392-nucleotide ribosomal RNA is filed under the name Asterionella formosa. RNAcentral's name for it is "partial small subunit ribosomal RNA". It matches the Rfam family "Eukaryotic small subunit ribosomal RNA", at positions 30 to 432 of the family's 1831-position model. The record is from RNAcentral. Lineage: Eukaryota; Bacillariophyta; Fragilariophyceae; Tabellariales; Tabellariaceae.